UCUUAUGUACAUGCCUACAGCAUAACAUUAAUGUGUCAAAUCCCAUUAGAAAUCCACAGUUAAGCGUGCUCGGGCUAGAGUAGUAAUGGGAUGAGUGACCACUCAGGAAAUCCUAGUGUUUCACAUGCC
Molecule: non-coding RNA, 129 nt
Organism: Picea glauca (white spruce)
Lineage: Eukaryota; Viridiplantae; Streptophyta; Pinopsida; Pinales; Pinaceae
Source: Rfam